ACUGCUCAGUAACACGUGGAUAACCUGCCCUUGGGUCCGGCAUAACCCCGGGAAACUGGGGAUAAUUCCGGAUAACGCACAUAUGCUGGAAUGCUUUAUGCGUAAAAUGGAUUCGUCUGCCCAAGGAUGGGUCUGCGGCCUAUCAGGUAGUAGUGGGUGUAAUGUACCUACUAGCCAACAACGGGUACGGGUUGUGAGAGCAAGAGCCCGGAGAUGGAUUCUGAGACAUGAAUCCAGGCCCUACGGGGCGCAGCAGGCGCGAAAACUUUACAAUGCGGGAAACCGUGAUAAGGGGACACCGAGUGCCAGCAUCAUAUGCUGGCUGUCCAGGUGUGUAAAAUACACCUGUUAGCAAGGGCCGGGCAAGACCGGUGCCAGCCGCCGCGGUAACACCGGCGGCCCGAGUGGUGAUCGUGAUUAUUGGGUCUAAAGGGUCCGUAGCCGGUUUGGUCAGUCCUCCGGGAAAUCUGAUAGCUCAACUAUUAGGCUUUCGGGGGAUACUGCCAGGCUUGGAACCGGGAGAGGUAAGAGGUACUACAGGGGUAGGAGUGAAAUCUUGUAAUCCCUGUGGGACCACCUGUGGCGAAGGCGUCUUACCAGAACGGGUUCGACGGUGAGGGACGAAAGCUGGGGGCACGAACCGGAUUAGAUACCCGGGUAGUCCCAGCCGUAAACGAUGCUCGCUAGGUGUCAGGCAUGGCGCGACCGUGUCUGGUGCCGCAGGGAAACCGUGAAGCGAGCCACCUGGGAAGUACGGCCGCAAGGCUGAAACUUAAAGGAAUUGGCGGGGGAGCAC
This 796-nucleotide ribosomal RNA is filed under the name uncultured archaeon. RNAcentral's name for it is "bacterial SSU rRNA". It matches the Rfam family "Archaeal small subunit ribosomal RNA", at positions 85 to 879 of the family's 1478-position model. The record is from RNAcentral.